CUCCAGCAUCCGCCUGGCACCUGACACCUCCCUGCUAGCCAGUCCCAGAGAGCUCUUUUCCUCCAGACUAGCUGGGGCUGGAACUGCUUAGAAUCGGACCCAGAAGAGGCCGAGUUCCGUCCAGGACUAAAGGCAGCCUCCAGGGAAUAAAGCUGUCAGUGUGGGCGCAGACUAGGGAAGGGGCACUAGGUCGUUCAAGCUGAAUGCUGGGGUUCCACAGCCUCCUCACACCCCCUUUAGUGCCUCAGGUAGAGUAGGCUUGUGGGGACACUGAGGUUUCCUCAGGUCCUUUCCCUGCUCAAUAACUCUCCAUGGCUCGCCACUACCCACUGCAUAAAGCCCUAACUCCUAUACCUGGCAUUUGGGAGCCUCUGUGAUUCCACUUCUUCAGUCUCUUCUCCUCCCUAAGCCCCCAUGCCCCAGCCACAGGGGCUACUUAGGUGCCCCUCCUGCUCCCCUUUCCCCUUGCACCCAAACCUUCUCUGCUCAUGUGCUAUUUCCUGGGGCCUUCUCUAGGGCUCAUUCCCUAGUUGGAGUUAAAUUCUGCUUCCAAGGAAUCAGCCACCCAAAUAACAAACCAGUCCACCUGAGAAUCUAGUCUGUGAUGCAGCGUCAAUAGCUUCUGAUGAAUUUGCUUCUGACCAGUAGCCUCCAGGGGUCAUAAAACAUUCACAGAGAGGAACACAGAGAAGAUGUGGGUCUUCAGGCUCAGAGAAGAGAAGGCAUUGUUUGCCCAUGAAUGUUUGCAAGUAAAUAGCAGAGCUGGGACUCAAAGAGUCCGGAUCUGGGGCUCCAUCAUGAAUCUCUAAGAGUGGCCCAGAGAUUCUCACGUUCCCUAGUCAUUCACCCACGUGCCUCAGCUGCAGAACCUGUCCUCAAGGUGCUCACAGGCUGAGGGAAGGCAGACAGAGGACAAGUGGCAACCUACAAAACACCAAAUGGGCUCCAUACUCAACCAAGGUGCCCCUCAGCCAGAACUGGACACAUUGCCAGAGAACUCCAGGGGUCAUCUGGUCGGCUCAGCCUCCCGGUUUCCGACAGACAGUAAGCCCACCAUGACUCCCUCCAUCGGGAAAGGGACCCUCAAGACUUUGAUCAGACCUUUGGACUGGGGGUCCUUCCCUUCACUGUGUCUCAAGUAAGGCACUGGUCUAGAGGAAAUAAGGUGAAGUCAGAUGAUAGCAAUACCACUACCAGUGCAGUGGCACAUGCCUGCACUCCCAGCUACUACGGAGGCUAAGGUGGGAGGAUCACUUGAGCCCAGGAGUUUGAGACCAGCAUUUAUUUAUUUACUAACAGACUAAAUAAAUAAACCAACAAUACCACCAACCAGUAAAUGAGAACUUCCAUGCUAAACACUUCAUGAGCUUAUCUGGAAAUUGCACCUCUCCUGAUAGCAAUGAGAUUGGUGUGGGAAUUCCAUUUACUCAUAAGAAGACAGCCUCGGCCGGGCUCAGUGGCUCACGCCUGUAAUCCCAG
Molecule: long non-coding RNA, 1479 nt
Filed under: Homo sapiens (human)
Lineage: Eukaryota; Metazoa; Chordata; Mammalia; Primates; Hominidae
Description: HSALNT0005822
Source: RNAcentral